AACNACUUUACAAUGCCGGCAGCGAUAAGGGAACCUCGAGUGCCANGUUACAAAUCUGGCUGUCGUGAUGCCUAAUAAGCAUUUCAUAGCAAGGGCCGGGCAAGACCGGUGCCAGCCGCCGCGGUUACACCGGCGCCUCGAGUGGUAACCGUUAUUAUUGGGUCUNAAGGGUCUGUAGCCGGCCGGAUAAGUCUCCUGAGAAAUCUGGCAGCUUAACUGUCAGGCUUUCAGGAGAUACUGUCUGGUUCGAGGCCGGGAGAGGUGAGAGGUACUUCAGGGGUAGGGNUGAAAUCSUUGUAAUCCUUGAAGGACCACCUGUGGCGAAGGCGUCUCACCAGAACGGACCUGNCGGNAAGGGACGAAAGCCAGGGGCACGAACCGGAUUAGAUACCCGGGUAGUCCUAGCCGUAAACGAUACUCGCUAGGGGUCGGCCACGGUGCGACCGUUGUCGGUGCCGUAGGGAAGCCGUGANGCGAGCCACCUGGCAAGUACGGCCGCAAGGCUGAAACUUAAAGGAAUUGGCGGGGGAGGUAUGG
This 537-nucleotide ribosomal RNA is filed under the name uncultured Methanosaeta sp. RNAcentral describes it as "bacterial SSU rRNA". It matches the Rfam family "Archaeal small subunit ribosomal RNA", at positions 343 to 882 of the family's 1478-position model. Lineage: Archaea; Methanobacteriati; Methanobacteriota; Methanomicrobia; Methanotrichales; Methanotrichaceae. The record is from RNAcentral.